UGAGGAUGUGCCACGGCUUUGCCACGGUCUGGCCUUCAACGACACUCUCAGGGUCCUCAAGCUCUCCCAAAACCCUAUGACAGAAGUCGGAGCUCUGACGCUGCUCCAAACAGUUAAAAACUCAAAAUCAGCAUUGGAGGAGAUCGAUAUUUCUACAGUGUUUGUG
This is a long non-coding RNA of Seriola dumerili (greater amberjack), 166 nucleotides long. RefSeq lists it as uncharacterized. The transcript is spliced from 3 exons. Lineage: Eukaryota; Metazoa; Chordata; Actinopteri; Carangiformes; Carangidae. The record is from RefSeq and is a predicted model, not a curated record.